AGAGUUUGAUCCUGGCUCAGGACGAACGCUGGCGGCGUGCUUAACACAUGCAAGUCGAACGGAAAGGCCCUUCGGGGUACUCGAGUGGCGAACGGGUGAGUAACACGUGGGUGAUCUGCCCUGCACUUUGGGAUAAGCCUGGGAAACUGGGUCUAAUACCGGAUAUACCUCAUGGACUGCAUGGUUUGUGGGGGAAAGCUUUUGCGGUGUGGGAUGGGCCCGCGGCCUAUCAGCUUGUUGGUGGGGUAAUGGCCUACCAAGGCGACGACGGGUAGCCGGCCUGAGAGGGUGACCGGCCACACUGGGACUGAGAUACGGCCCAGACUCCUACGGGAGGCAGCAGUGGGGAAUAUUGCACAAUGGGCGCAAGCCUGAUGCAGCGACGCCGCGUGAGGGAUGACGGCCUUCGGGUUGUAAACCUCUUUCAGCACAGACGAAGCGCAAGUGACGGUAUGUGCAGAAGAAGGACCGGCCAACUACGUGCCAGCAGCCGCGGUAAUACGUAGGGUCCGAGCGUUGUCCGGAAUUACUGGGCGUAAAGAGCUCGUAGGUGGUUUGUCGCGUUGUUCGUGAAAACUCACAGCUUAACUGUGGGCGUGCGGGCGAUACGGGCAGACUUGAGUACUGCAGGGGAGACUGGAAUUCCUGGUGUAGCGGUGGAAUGCGCAGAUAUCAGGAGGAACACCGGUGGCGAAGGCGGGUCUCUGGGCAGUAACUGACGCUGAGGAGCGAAAGCGUGGGGAGCGAACAGGAUUAGAUACCCUGGUAGUCC
RNAcentral lists this ribosomal RNA (772 nucleotides) under uncultured bacterium. Its description in RNAcentral is "bacterial SSU rRNA". It matches the Rfam family "Bacterial small subunit ribosomal RNA", at positions 8 to 796 of the family's 1533-position model. The record is from RNAcentral.